This is a non-coding RNA of Taeniopygia guttata (zebra finch), 913 nucleotides long. NCBI's taxonomy places the organism in Eukaryota, Metazoa, Chordata, Aves, Passeriformes, Estrildidae. The record is from RefSeq and is a predicted model, not a curated record.
UCCCCCCAGGUGGCCACAGGCGCCACCAAGCCAGUGGCACGUCCCAGCCUGGCCUCAGGCCACCCCUACAGCCCUGUGUGACCACAGCUCUGCUCAGCAGGACUUCUUGUGAUCCAGCCCCCAGCUGCUGGUGAGCUGACACCCAGCCUGGGCUCCACCUCAGCCCCAGCGAGGUGUCCCACGGCCCAGGCUGAGGCCACCCAACAGGCUGGACCCAGGGAGCCCUCACCACUGCUGGUGCCACAGCCACAGGGACCCUGCAGCUCACAGGGCACCUGGGCAGGUUUAACCAACGUGAGAAACCAAAGAUCAGCUUAAAACCACCAGCAGCUGUUUGCACAAGGAACGCCAGCAACAGCUUGAGCAAACGCACUAAGCGGCAAACAGGAUCCAAAGCCUGUGCUUACUCAAGCCUUCUGCAGAAGGUUUUAAGUAAUGGAUAGCAGAUCAUGAGAGACACUACCACAGAAGUUACCAGCAAAGGACAGGCAAAGUGUUGAGAGUAGAGAAGCACAAGGAAGGAAAGUCAGAACACCUAAUCAUUGCCUGCACAUAGUAAUGCAGCAGCAGUAGCCAGCUGGAGCUAUUUCUUCUUCAAAUAAAAGGUAAUUAUGCAAGAGACUACCCAGCUCAGCAGUGGGAAAGAAGACAACAUGCAUCUGAAAAGCUAUACUACUAAAUCAAAAACUUUCUGCUUAUACGUGGUUAGCAAGGGCAGCAAGGACUUCAAAACUGCAGAUGGAGAUCUUCAGAGGGAGGGCUGCAAAACUUCUGCAGAAUGACAGCAGCAGCCUGAUUUGACGAUGACCUAAAAAGGCUGCAGAAUCUCCCUUAGUCACCACACCUCCUGUAGGCAAGCCUCAAUGCACAGAGCCAAAGUAACUCAUGACAAACUCUGAGCUGAGACUUAGUA